AGUUAUGCCAUUUUUUUCAGGAGGGACUACACAUACUGUUUUUUAGAAGAAAUGAAAACCUUUUCUACCUCCAGCUACAGGCUGCGCUUUGAAAUAAAAUCAUCCAUUUUGAAACAAGAAAGCGAAUAUGCCAGCCAGAAUCAGAACGAGGGAGGAGGCGAUAGAGAGCUGACGUGAGGAAAUGUUCGGGAGAGUGACAGAGCAAAUGGACAAAGAAUUGAACGUACACAUCCUAUGGCAAAAACAAAGAAAGAG
This is a long non-coding RNA of Tupaia belangeri chinensis (Chinese tree shrew), 255 nucleotides long. RefSeq lists it as uncharacterized. The record is from RefSeq and is a predicted model, not a curated record. The transcript has 3 exons. NCBI's taxonomy places the organism in Eukaryota, Metazoa, Chordata, Mammalia, Scandentia, Tupaiidae.